This 74-nucleotide transfer RNA is filed under the name Lactobacillus sp. RNAcentral's name for it is "tRNA-Arg". It matches the Rfam family "tRNA". Rfam says of the family: Transfer RNA (tRNA) molecules are approximately 80 nucleotides in length. Their secondary structure includes four short double-helical elements and three loops (D, anti-codon, and T loops). The record is from RNAcentral. Lineage: Bacteria; Bacillati; Bacillota; Bacilli; Lactobacillales; Lactobacillaceae.
GGUCCUGUAGCUCAGCUGGAUAGAGCAUCGGUUUCCUAAACCGUGUGUCGUGAGUUCGAACCUCACCAGGAUCA